This 1495-nucleotide ribosomal RNA is filed under the name uncultured bacterium. RNAcentral describes it as "16S ribosomal RNA". It matches the Rfam family "Bacterial small subunit ribosomal RNA". The record is from RNAcentral.
AGAGUUUGAUCCUGGCUCAGAUUGAACGCUGGCGGCAUGCCUAACACAUGCAAGUCGAACGUGAAAGGGGGGCAACCCCCGAGUAGAGUGGCGGACGGGGGAGGAAUCUACCCUAGAGUGGGGGAUAACCCGGGGAAACCCGGGCUAAUACCGCAUAUUCUCUAAGGAGUAAAGGUGACCAAGUGCUUUCGGGUAUUUGGUUAUCGCUUUAGGAUGAGCCUAUGUCGGAUUAGCUAGUUGGUAGGGUAAUGGCCUACCAAGGCAACGAUCCGUAGCUGGUCUGAGAGGACGACCAGCCACACUGGGACUGAGAUACGGCCCAGACUCCUACGGGAGGCAGCAGUGGGGAAUAUUGGACAAUGGGCGAAAGCCUGAUCCAGCAAUGCCGCGUGCAGGAAGAAGGCCUUCGGGCUGUAAACUGCUUUUGUCAGGGAAGAAAUCUUCGUGGCUAAUACCCCGGGAGGAUGACGGUACCUGAAGAAUAAGCACCGGCUAACUACGUGCCAGCAGCCGCGGUAAUACGUAGGGUGCGAGCGUUAAUCGGAAUUACUGGGCGUAAAGCGUGCGCAGGCGGUGAUGUAAGACAGAUGUGAAGUCCCCGGGCUCAACCUGGGACCUGCAUUUGUGACUGCAUCGCUAGAGUACGGUAGAGGGGGAUGGAAUUCCGCGUGUAGCAGUGAAAUGCGUAGAUAUGCGGAGGAACACCGAUGGCGAAGGCAAUCCCCUGGGCCUGCACUGACGCUCAUGCACGAAAGCGUGGGGAGCAAACAGGAUUAGAUACCCUGGUAGUCCACGCCCUAAACGAUGUCAACUGGUUGUUGGGUCUAAACCGACUCAGUAACGAAGCUAACGCGUUAAGUGAUCCGCCUGGGGAGUACGGCCGCAAGGUUAAAACUCAAAGGAAUUGACGGGGACCCGCACAAGCGGUGGAUGAUGUGGUUUAAUUCGAUGCAACGCGAAAAACCUUACCCACCUUUGACAUGUACGGAAGAUCGCAGAGACGCGAUUGUGCUCGAAAGAGAACCGUAACACAGGUGCUGCAUGGCUGUCGUCAGCUCGUGUCGUGAGAUGUUGGGUUAAGUCCCGCAACGAGCGCAACCCUUGCCAUUAGUUGCUACAUUCAGUUGGGCACUCUAAUGGGACUGCCGGUGACAAACCGGAGGAAGGUGGGGAUGACGUCAAGUCCUCAUGGCCCUUAUAGGUGGGGCUACACACGUCAUACAAUGGCUGGUACAAAGGGUUGCCAACCCGCGAGGGGGAGCUAAUCCCAUAAAGCCAGUCGUAGUCCGGAUCGUAGUCUGCAACUCGACUACGUGAAGUCGGAAUCGCUAGUAAUCGUGGAUCAGAAUGUCACGGUGAGUACGUUCCCGGGUCUUGUACACACCGCACGCCACACCAUGGGAGUGGGUUUCACCAGAAGCAGGUAGCCUAACCGCAAGGAGGGCGCCUACCACGGUGAGAUUCAUGACUGGGGUGAAGUCGUAACAAGGUAACC